This 253-nucleotide ribosomal RNA is filed under the name uncultured bacterium. RNAcentral describes it as "partial 16S ribosomal RNA". It matches the Rfam family "Bacterial small subunit ribosomal RNA", at positions 524 to 776 of the family's 1533-position model. The record is from RNAcentral.
UACGAAGGGGGCUAACGUUGCUCGGAAUCACUGGGCGUAAAGGGUGCGUAGGCGGGUCUUUAAGUCAGGGGUGAAAUCCUGGAGCUCAACUCCAGAACUGCCUUUGAUACUGAGGAUCUUGAGUUCGGGAGAGGUGAGUGGAACUGCGAGUGUAGAGGUGAAAUUCGUAGAUAUUCGCAAGAACACCAGUGGCGAAGGCGGCUCACUGGCCCGAUACUGACGCUGAGGCACGAAAGCGUGGGGAGCAAACAGG